UUGAACGCUGGCGGCAGGCCUAACACAUGCAAGUCGAGCGGAUGAAGAGAGCUUGCUCUCUGAUUCAGCGGCGGACGGGUGAGUAAUGCCUAGGAAUCUGCCUGGUAGUGGGGGACAACGUUUCGAAAGGAACGCUAAUACCGCAUACGUCCUACGGGAGAAAGCAGGGGACCUUCGGGCCUUGCGCUAUCAGAUGAGCCUAGGUCGGAUUAGCUAGUUGGUGGGGUAAUGGCCCACCAAGGCGACGAUCCGUAACUGGUCUGAGAGGAUGAUCAGUCACACUGGAACUGAGACACGGUCCAGACUCCUACGGGAGGCAGCAGUGGGGAAUAUUGGACAAUGGGCGAAAGCCUGAUCCAGCCAUGCCGCGUGUGUGAAGAAGGUCUUCGGAUUGUAAAGCACUUUAAGUUGGGAGGAAGGGCAUUAACCUAAUACGUUAGUGUUUUGACGUUACCAACAGAAUAAGCACCGGCUAACUUC
Molecule: ribosomal RNA, 480 nt
Filed under: Pseudomonas sp. 'ARUP UnID 539'
Lineage: Bacteria; Pseudomonadati; Pseudomonadota; Gammaproteobacteria; Pseudomonadales; Pseudomonadaceae
Description: bacterial SSU rRNA
Rfam family: Bacterial small subunit ribosomal RNA
Source: RNAcentral